This is a non-coding RNA of Aspergillus niger, 120 nucleotides long. The record is from Rfam. Lineage: Eukaryota; Fungi; Ascomycota; Eurotiomycetes; Eurotiales; Aspergillaceae.
ACAUACGACCAUAGGGUGUGGAAAACAGGGCUUCCCGUCCGCUCAGCCGUACUUAAGCCACACGCCGGGAGGUUAGUAGUUGGGUGGGUGACCACCAGCGAAUCCCUUCUGUUGUAUGUU